GUACUGAUGAAGAGUCCAAACUAGGCUGACGAAACAGCUGUCCAGUAC
RNAcentral lists this non-coding RNA (48 nucleotides) under Trichobilharzia regenti. The record is from RNAcentral. Lineage: Eukaryota; Metazoa; Platyhelminthes; Trematoda; Strigeidida; Schistosomatidae.